GUCGUACGCCGGGCCUCCACGAGGAAGUCGAUCGGAAGACCGACUAGACCUCGACGACGAAAAUACCGUGCCCGACUCGGCACGGCGAGUCGCGACCACUGCGGCGAGGAAAAGUCCGGCCGGAGUGACGGUCGCCGCGAAGACACUCGACACGAGUCCUCCGACGCGUCUCGUUCGAACUUACCCACGGUACUUCG
RNAcentral lists this ribosomal RNA (197 nucleotides) under Psylla alniformosanaesuga. RNAcentral's name for it is "partial 28S ribosomal RNA". The record is from RNAcentral. Lineage: Eukaryota; Metazoa; Arthropoda; Insecta; Hemiptera; Psyllidae.